AGCAACUUGGCGCAGUGGAAGCGCGGUAUGUUUACCACUCGGUUCUCAGGGUACAAUUCCUUACUAACUCACGCAAAGCCGGGCUCAUAACCCGGAGGUCACUCGAUCGAAACGAGUAGUUGCUA
Molecule: transfer RNA, 125 nt
Filed under: Fusarium equiseti
Lineage: Eukaryota; Fungi; Ascomycota; Sordariomycetes; Hypocreales; Nectriaceae
Description: tRNA-Gly
Source: RNAcentral